GAGACAGGGCCAACGAGUUACGUUAAGUAGCAAGGUUAAGCACGUAAGGUGCGGAGCCGUAGCGAAAGCGAGUUUUAACUGAGCGUUCAGUUACUGGACGUAGACCCGAAACCGGGCGACCGACCCAUGAGCAGGAUGAAGCGAAAGUAAAAUUGCGUGGAGGUCCGAACCCACGAGCGUUGAAAAGCUCGGGGAUGACUUGUGGGUAGCGGUGAAAUUCCAA
This 223-nucleotide ribosomal RNA is filed under the name Clostridioides difficile. Its description in RNAcentral is "partial 23S ribosomal RNA". It matches the Rfam family "Bacterial large subunit ribosomal RNA", at positions 611 to 832 of the family's 2925-position model. The record is from RNAcentral. Lineage: Bacteria; Bacillati; Bacillota; Clostridia; Peptostreptococcales; Peptostreptococcaceae.